RNAcentral lists this long non-coding RNA (580 nucleotides) under Neogobius melanostomus (round goby). Its description in RNAcentral is "lncRNA (ENSNMLG00000020681.1)". The record is from RNAcentral. Lineage: Eukaryota; Metazoa; Chordata; Actinopteri; Gobiiformes; Gobiidae.
UGAAGUUUGCAUUGUAUUAUGAUUUGUUGAUGUGGUGUAUGAUAAACCCAAAUAGUCAAUAUGUGACGAAAAGGGAUUUACCAUUUUCAUCACAUUUUGACUCCGAAGUCAAUACCGUUUUUAUCACAUGCUGACAAAAUGGGUAACAAAUUAAGUAUAGUGCCUUUAGUCUAUUUAGAAUGGUUUGUCUUGAGAGCACAGUCAGGUACCGCAAGAGUAUUAGUACUACUGUAGUUUUUGUGAGCAGAUGGAGAAUGGUGCCUCGAACAGAGAAAGCAAAAGGAGUGUCACUUAUGCAAAUGAUCCUUCAUGUCCUGCAAAUGACAAUCACAUUGUGACUGAAACAACACACAAUGGCCCCUUGGACGGCAAAAUGCCAUUGUCCCCAGUAUCUGACAACCCAGAGUUCAUCAAAUGUGGCUCCCAAAUCAAGACAUCUGAGAAUAGCAGAGAGAAGAACAGAGAUGUCAAACCUAAGAUGGAGGUGGAAUCAGUAAAUGUUUCUCGAAACAGUAAACCACCAACAGUAUCCUGGGGCUCAUCAGGACAUCGAGGGACCGUGACUCUUCCUGAAACGUGA